UCAUGGCAAAGCUUGCUGACAGGAGCUGAGGCCCAGUGCACUGCAGGGGGUCACCAGGUGCCGAGAAUGCCCUGCCUGCUGUUGUCUGGUGCUUGGCACAGUCCUUGGUAGAGAGCUGGCGUUCAGAGCCAAGAAUGAUUGGAAGCCUGGAUGGAAACAGUUAGGCAGGGAAGUGGGCAGCAGUGUGGCGAUCGGAGGUGAGAGGGUAGCAUCUUGUGCCAGGUAAGCCAGGAGGAGAGGAGAGUGCCGAGUUUCCCGUCCACAGGGAAGGGAACCUCGCACUGACCACUCAACGGCUUGCUGCAGUAGCUAGGGUUCCCGGCUCUGAGGGAAUCUUUCACCUUUGUCCUACGUUGUAGCAAGCCUAGUUCCAGCUUAGAUGUACAGACCUCGGUGUCCCUCCCUAAAAGCAGGUGCUGACAGCUGAGCCAUUCCACACACCUUUGGGGCAAAGAAGCGCCGGAAGCCAGAGCAGGGCCAAGUUCAAAGACUGGACAUUCUUUCCGAGGCUCCCAGAAGCAGACCGGAGGGCCGGCUCCCGCGUUACAUAAGCAUCAGGUUAGCAGGUCCGUCACCGCGGUACUCAGCCUUGGCCUCUCGGACUUGCGCAACUAUUGCGCAGAAGCACUUGUUCCGUGUGGCAACAGGGCUACAUGGUUAUCAAAUACGUGGUGCAUCCGCCCAGACUCACUUAGACGACACCAAAGGUUUUCACCACCAGGUGGUUAAAGCUGCCUGAUAGGGUUGGCAGGAGGCAAAGCCAUGACUUACUGUAGCUCUUGGCCCAAGCCACCGAACACUCAGUACCUUGUACCCCGUUAGCCUUGGGCAGUAAAGCCUCUGAUAAAAUGUU
Long non-coding RNA from Arvicola amphibius (Eurasian water vole), 853 nucleotides. RefSeq lists it as uncharacterized. The transcript is spliced from 2 exons. The record is from RefSeq and is a predicted model, not a curated record. NCBI's taxonomy places the organism in Eukaryota, Metazoa, Chordata, Mammalia, Rodentia, Cricetidae.